This 233-nucleotide non-coding RNA is filed under the name Chlorocebus sabaeus (green monkey). Lineage: Eukaryota; Metazoa; Chordata; Mammalia; Primates; Cercopithecidae. The record is from Rfam by way of RNAcentral.
GCCGGGCGCGGUGGCUCAAGCCUGUAAUCCCAGCACUUUGGGAGGCCGAGAUGGGCGGAUCACAAGGUCAGGAGAUCGAGACCAUCCUGGCUAAAACGGUAAAACCCCGUCCUUACAAAAAAAAAAAAAAAAAAANNNNNNNNNNUUUUUUUGUAUUUUUUAGUAGAGACGGGGUUUCACCGUUUUAGCCAGGAUGGUCUCGAUCUCCUGACCUUGUGAUCCGCCCGUCUCGG